This 221-nucleotide ribosomal RNA is filed under the name uncultured bacterium. RNAcentral's name for it is "partial 16S ribosomal RNA". It matches the Rfam family "Bacterial small subunit ribosomal RNA", at positions 111 to 334 of the family's 1533-position model. The record is from RNAcentral.
UAAUAUAUCGGAACGUACCCUGGAGUGGGGGAUAACGUAGCGAAAGUUACGCUAAUACCGCAUACGAUCUAAGGAUGAAAGUGGGGGGAUCGCAAGACCUCAUGCUCCUGGAGCGGCCGAUAUCUGAUUAGCUAGUUGGUAGGGUAAAGGCCUACCAAGGCAUCGAUCAGUAGCUGGUCUGAGAGGACGACCAGCCACACUGGAACUGAGACACGGUCCAG